GAUAAACCCUAAUCCAACAAAAUCCUUUUAAUGUGACGAAGCUUUAAGACACCAUCUUCUCAAGUGAAGCAUUUUGUUCAAUUUUCAACAAGAAAUCUUUUAAUGAGGCGUGUUCAUCUGUGAGGCCUAACCUUCAGCGAGAACAACUCUUCAGCGAGAAUAUGACGGAAGAGAUCUUCAGCUCUUCAACAAGAAAUCUGUGAGAAAGUUUGAUGGAAAUUGUGUUCUUCAUACUUGGAGAGAAAAGCCUAAAGAGCGUGUUCUUCAAUUUGA
This 273-nucleotide long non-coding RNA is filed under the name Solanum tuberosum (potato). RNAcentral describes it as "long non-coding RNA (STUB_LNC000057)". The record is from RNAcentral. Lineage: Eukaryota; Viridiplantae; Streptophyta; Magnoliopsida; Solanales; Solanaceae.